Scatophagus argus is the source of this 2163-nucleotide RNA transcript. RefSeq lists it as uncharacterized. The record is from RefSeq and is a predicted model, not a curated record. The transcript has 8 exons. Lineage: Eukaryota; Metazoa; Chordata; Actinopteri; Scatophagidae.
CUGGUUCAAAAUCAUCAAUUUAACACUGUAAACAAGAGCGACAAGCUUAAGCGUGAGAGCAGAAGAGAGAAAAUGAUGCGACCAGAAGAUCAGGGGACGCUACUAAAUCCAAAACGGUUCCUGCGUGCCUUCGCGCCUUUCCCGCGCUCCACAUGGAUCCAUCCUCAUGUGCCCACUGACAACUUUGAUCGUGUCUGUAGAAACAUCUGGAGAAGAAGAGAGGAAGCCGACAAGGAGUUUGGCACAUGUUCUGUUUUACCGGAGAGACGGGAGAUGAAGAAAGGCUUGUCGAGUCCAGACAGCAAACUAAGCCACCGGACCAAGGAGCAGCAAAAAGAGACAAAUGAUUUGGGUCUGACCACAGAGCAUAAGAAGGACAAGCAGCAAUACCACACUGACUUCAUCCUUCCUUGCCCUUAUCUCUCGGGCCGCAGACAUCCCCAUGUUGCCAAGCCUACAUGGGUACUGAACCCUGUGAUGGAAGCAGAGAUGAAAUGCAAUGAUGGGGAGGCAAAAGGGACAAGAAUUUUGCAGAAUGAUGUGCAGGAUAAACAAAGAACUGUGGAAAAUUCCCAGAAGAAGAUUUGGGUUGGCCAGUCCAGUAACGGAGCAGUCAAACAAAGCUCUGCACAUCAGCCUCGACCUCUGACACAAAAUCCUGUCUACACCCCACACUCAGAUGACCGCAUCACAUACCUGCAGGAGAAGAAAGACCCUCCACUUCCCUCCAGAUUGCUUAGAGAUACAUGUGAAAGUGAGGAUGAGCAGGAUACAAGAAGCAGUUCUGACAGCAGUUCUAGUGAUGAUCACAAUGUGGUCACUUUACCUGGGUUGCGAACUUUUGCCACUGAUAGCAGUGAUGGGGACUCAGUGAGUGACAACAGAGAGUGCGAGGAAGAGAAAAAUGAAAUUCCACUCUCUGCUGAAUUAAGUUCCAACAGCGAGCAGGAUUCCCCAUCUUCCAGCACAGAGAAGGACAUUCCUCCAAUAUCUACCAUCAAGUCUGGCAUUCUACCAUGUCCCACGGAGCCUCCAGCCUCAGGGAAGGUGCAUGGCCAGCGGGAGAUUCCCCUUUCAUUCCACCCACAUGACAUCCCCACUGCCACUUUGGCAAGUGGAGUGACCGCCCAUGUACAGGCCCCUGUCCAAGGCAAAGCAGCAACACCUCAGGAAAACUCAAAAACCAGUGAAACAGCAGCAGCCUCAUUGCAGCAGGGGGCCUAUGACCUACUGGCUGACUUCCCGGCUCUCCAGCCCCCAAAGAAAUCUUUAGCAUUGGGUGUAUUGCAUGAUGGGAAGCCCAAACCUAAAGAUGCAAAAGGGAAAAGAGGGCUUACUCUCUCACCAAACCACUGCCAAGAGAGUAGGGCUUCCCAUCAGAGGAGGAUGGAAUAUGUGCCCCAUGAGGUCUCCUCCAUCUGUGCAAAAGAUCAGAAUCCCGUGCUGGACCUUCAAACAUUUGGCUCGACCUGCCAAAGCAACUCUCCAACCAUCAGCUCUGGGCAACCGAAGGCCAACAAUCAGUUGCCCCCUAGAGCUGCAGGUACAGAUGGUGUGGGUGUUAAUGCCAGGUCCUGGGCUAGCGCUGCCAAGGCGGGCAUGAAGCAAGCAGAUGCCCCUCAGGAGAAAGCCAGACCUUGUACCUUUCAGCAGAUAGUUAACAUUAACAGAGCCAAAGCUGGCUAUUCUGCAGCCCACAACUUUGCCAACAAAGGGACUCCCUACCAUCAGGCCUUCCGUCAUUUGGCACCUAUGUAUCAUGGCCCUCGACCCCGCAACCCAAACCAGUUCAUUAGCCCUGGUUACCCCUACACCCAUCAGCAGUUUGGAGCUCGGACGCAUCGAGCCAACUGUCCUCCAGGAUUCAGAUGUCCCCGUUUUCCUUUCCAACAGUGAGCAUGUGGGAUUGAGGCUGAUGACAGUAGGAGUUGAUAACCGGAACUCCACAACAAAACGCGGAGGGUGACUAUCAGUGUCGCAACCCGAUCUGUGUCAGACACGAGGCAGGGCGAGAGGCCAGAGGUAACCCGUCCAAGUACAGCCACAUGUGACGACAGCCGGUGUGAAGCAAAGUCAUGUGUUUCUGCUGAAGACAUUGUUGACUAUAAUUGCCUCAGUUGUUUUCCCCUGCGAGCAACCUAAUAAAUAUUUGUUUCAUAUGUA